GUUAUAUGGUCAAGUGAAGAAGCGCAUACGGUGGAUGCCUUGGCAGUCAGAGGCGAUGAAAGACGUGGUAGCCUGCGAAAAGCUUCGGGGAGUCGGCAAACAGACUUUGAUCCGGAGAUCUCUGAAUGGGGGAACCCACCUAGGAUAACCUAGGUAUCUUGUACUGAAUCCAUAGGUGCAAGAGGCGAACCAGGGGAACUGAAACAUCUAAGUACCCUGAGGAAAAGAAAUCAACCGAGAUUCCCUUAGUAGUGGCGAGCGAACGGGGAUUAGCCCUUAAGCUUCAUUGAUUUUAGCGGAACGCUCUGGAAAGUGCGGCCAUAGUGGGUGAUAGCCCCGUACGCGAAAGGAUCUUUGAAGUGAAAUCGAGUAGGACGGAGCACGAGAAACUUUGUCUGAACAUGGGGGGACCAUCCUCCAAGGCUAAAUACUACUGACUGACCGAUAGUGAACCAGUACCGUGAGGGAAAGGCGAAAAGAACCCCGGAGAGGGGAGUGAAAUAGAACCUGAAACCGUAUGCGUACAAGCAGUGGGAGCCUACUUGUUAGGUGACUGCGUACCUUUUGUAUAAUGGGUCAGCGACUUAUAUUCAGUGGCAAGCUUAACCGUAUAGGGUAGGCGUAGCGAAAGCGAGUCUUAAUAGGGCGUUUAGUCGCUGGGUAUAGACCCGAAACCGGGCGAUCUAUCCAUGAGCAGGUUGAAGGUUAGGUAACACUGACUGGAGGACCGAACCCACUCCCGUUGAAAAGGUAGGGGAUGACUUGUGGAUCGGAGUGAAAGGCUAAUCAAGCUCGGAGAUAGCUGGUUCUCCUCGAAAGCUAUUUAGGUAGCGCCUCAUGUAUCACUCUGGGGGGUAGAGCACUGUUUCGGCUAGGGGGUCAUCCCGACUUACCAAACCGAUGCAAACUCCGAAUACCCAGAAGUGCCGAGCAUGGGAGACACACGGCGGGUGCUAACGUCCGUCGUGAAAAGGGAAACAACCCAGACCGCCAGCUAAGGUCCCAAAGUUGUGGUUAAGUGGUAAACGAUGUGGGAAGGCUUAGACAGCUAGGAGGUUGGCUUAGAAGCAGCCAUCCUUUAAAGAAAGCGUAAUAGCUCACUAGUCGAGUCGGCCUGCGCGGAAGAUGUAACGGGGCUCAAACCACACACCGAAGCUGCGGGUGUCACGUAAGUGACGCGGUAGAGGAGCGUUCUGUAAGCCUGUGAAGGUGAGUUGAGAAGCUUGCUGGAGGUAUCAGAAGUGCGAAUGCUGACAUGAGUAACGACAAUGGGUGUGAAAAACACCCACGCCGAAAGACCAAGGGUUCCUGCGCAACGUUAAUCGACGCAGGGUUAGUCGGUUCCUAAGGCGAGGCUGAAAAGCGUAGUCGAUGGGAAACAGGUUAAUAUUCCUGUACUUCUGGUUACUGCGAUGGAGGGACGGAGAAGGCUAGGCCAGCUUGGCGUUGGUUGUCCAAGUUUAAGGUGGUAGGCUGAAAUCUUAGGUAAAUCCGGGGUUUCAAGGCCGAGAGCUGAUGACGAGUCGUCUUUUAGAUGACGAAGUGGUUGAUGCCAUGCUUCCAAGAAAAGCUUCUAAGCUUCAGGUAACCAGGAACCGUACCCCAAACCGACACAGGUGGUCGGGUAGAGAAUACCAAGGCGCUUGAGAGAACUCGGGUGAAGGAACUAGGCAAAAUGGCACCGUAACUUCGGGAGAAGGUGCGCCGGCUAGGGUGAAGGAUUUACUCCGUAAGCUCUGGCUGGUCGAAGAUACCAGGCCGCUGCGACUGUUUAUUAAAAACACAGCACUCUGCAAACACGAAAGUGGACGUAUAGGGUGUGACGCCUGCCCGGUGCCGGAAGGUUAAUUGAUGGGGUUAGCGCAAGCGAAGCUCUUGAUCGAAGCCCCGGUAAACGGCGGCCGUAACUAUAACGGUCCUAAGGUAGCGAAAUUCCUUGUCGGGUAAGUUCCGACCUGCACGAAUGGCGUARCGAUGGCGGCGCUGUCUCCACCCGAGACUCAGUGAAAUUGAAAUCGCUGUGAAGAUGCAGUGUAUCCGCGGCUAGACGGAAAGACCCCGUGAACCUUUACUGUAGCUUUGCACUGGACUUUGAGCCUGCUUGUGUAGGAUAGGUGGGAGGCUUUGAAGCGUGGACGCCAGUUCGCGUGGAGCCAUCCUUGAAAUACCACCCUGGCAUGCUUGAGGUUCUAACUCUGGUCCGUGAUCCGGAUCGAGGACAGUGUAUGGUGGGCAGUUUGACUGGGGCGGUCUCCUCCUAAAGAGUAACGGAGGAGUACGAAGGUGCGCUCAGACCGGUCGGAAAUCGGUCGCAGAGUAUAAAGGCAAAAGCGCGCUWGACUGCGAGACAGACACGUCGAGCAGGUACGAAAGUAGGUCUUAGUGAUCCGGUGGUUCUGUAUGGAAGGGCCAUCGCUCAACGGAUAAAAGGUACUCCGGGGAUAACAGGCUGAUACCGCCCAAGAGUUCAUAUCGACGGCGGUGUUUGGCACCUCGAUGUCGGCUCAUCACAUCCUGGGGCUGAAGCCGGUCCCAAGGGUAUGGCUGUUCGCCAUUUAAAGUGGUACGCGAGCUGGGUUUAGAACGUCGUGAGACAGUUCGGUCCCUAUCUGSCGUGGACGUUUGAGAUUUGAGAGGGGCUGCUCCUAGUACGAGAGGACCGGAGUGGACGAACCUCUGGUGUUCCGGUUGUCACGCCAGUGGCAUUGCCGGGUAGCUAUGUUCGGAAAAGAUAACCGCUGAAAGCAUCUAAGCGGGAAACUUGCCUCAAGAUGAGAUCUCACUGGGAACUUGAUUCCCCUGAAGGGCCGUCGAAGACUACGACGUUGAUAGGCUGGGUGUGUAAGCGUUGUGAGGCGUUGAGCUAACCAGUACUAAUUGCCCGUGAGGCUUGACCAUAUAACACCCAAACA
Molecule: ribosomal RNA, 2912 nt
Filed under: Pseudomonas aeruginosa
Lineage: Bacteria; Pseudomonadati; Pseudomonadota; Gammaproteobacteria; Pseudomonadales; Pseudomonadaceae
Description: 23S ribosomal RNA
Rfam family: Bacterial large subunit ribosomal RNA
Source: RNAcentral